UUUCAUCCUCAGAACUUUUAAUUAGUUAUUGAUGAAUAAGUCAACCUACACUUUUUUUUUGUAUUUAUUUUGUACGUAGCUGUUUAGCUCAAUUCAUCUUAAUUAUGAUACUUUUUUUCAGAUCAUUCUCUUGGGUUUUCCAGAAACAUCUCUGUAUUGGAUCUAUACCUUUUGUAUAUCCCAUAGCUUAUUGUGUUGACUAGUAGUUCCUAAGCUAUUUCACACAAAAGUAAUAAAAGCAAGAAUGCAUGUUUAGUUUGUGGUUUUAGUUCAUGAUUUUUGAUUUAAAAUGUUAUGGUCAAAAGCAAGAAAAUACUGUAAAUAUUUUAAAAGCAUAUAGGAUGUAUCACUUUCUUCCUAUUUUCAAAGUUUAUGCAUUUGUUUUAAUUUUUUUAACUGUCUUAUAAGCAUCUAUGGAGAUAAAUAAGCACUUUUUCUUAGUCAACUUAUGUAUGUGUUAUGUUAACAUAUAGUAUGAAACGUCCAUAUAUUAAUCCAUCCCCACAUUCCUAGAAUGAACACCACUUGGUUGGUGGACUGUUUUAGUAUAUUUUCUACAUUCCUCCUUUGUUGGUGACUGUAUUCUUUAUUUUAAUGCAACAGAAUAAUUACUUAUGCCAGAACAGAAUGCUGCUAUGCAAUAAACACGUUCUUAUGAAGCCAAGUCACAGAGAAAACACAGGAUGUAAAUGAGCAAAAAAUGAUUCUAGCUUUUCCAAAAAUCUCUGUGGCUGCAUGGAAAGCCAAAAUCAUUCUCAGGGUGAAAAAUAACAAGAGAAUACUCUUGGGCUAAAAUCACUAUUUUUGGUCACAAUUGCCCUUGUAAGUAGCAGUUACUUUUAACGGCAUUAUCUUCAAAUAUCAAGCAGCAUCAUAGGCAAUAAAGAGUAUUUUAUGUAAUAAAGAGAAUAUAUACAUAAGGGUAGAUAGAACAGGGAACCAAUGUCAUAGAUACAAGGAAGUCUAUAUUCCAAAUGACAUCAGCCAAGCCUUUGUCAUGGCCACCCCAGUGUGAUCCAAUAGGUGAACAAAUGGAAUAAUCUUGGUGCCAAGAAUAAAAGCUAUGCAUUACCCAACAGCAUCAACUCCCAUUCACCAACGUGCUCUUGCUAUUGCCAUUACCUAAAUAUGGAAUUUGUUAGCAACGGAGAUUAAUGCUGAGCCCCAGAAUGGCACCAUCCCUCAAGGACACCAAUCAAUCAUUUGGUGCAAGUUAUUUACGAAAAGUAUCUCAGAGAAGCUGUUUCCAUAUGGGAUGAAAUUAUUAUACAAAGCAAAUGGAUCUGAAUGGCUCCUUCUUUGUCAUGGAAAUACCUAAGGACACUAGGACAUUAAGGAUGUUUAGCUGAGAAAAGAGAAGCUACAGAGCUUCUGUCAGGCUGUCUUCAAUCUCAGAGUCAUCUAAAGAGAAGAGGUCCCCGGCUCGGGAAAGAUCUUUUUGUCCUAAAACCAG
Long non-coding RNA from Panthera uncia (snow leopard), 1453 nucleotides. RefSeq lists it as uncharacterized. The transcript is spliced from 4 exons. The record is from RefSeq and is a predicted model, not a curated record. NCBI's taxonomy places the organism in Eukaryota, Metazoa, Chordata, Mammalia, Carnivora, Felidae.